Molecule: long non-coding RNA, 921 nt
Organism: Tribolium castaneum (red flour beetle)
Lineage: Eukaryota; Metazoa; Arthropoda; Insecta; Coleoptera; Tenebrionidae
Exons: 4
Source: RefSeq, a predicted model, not a curated record
GUCAUACAUUAUAUUCCAUAGCAGUGGUGCGAGCACCGACCCCUGUGGAACCCCGCUGUUUACUUCUAGUAGUUUACCAUGUUCGGUUUAGGAAGAAGAAUCAGUCGUGCUGUUUUCCAGCAAUCCGGAAAGGAUUUUCUCCUUAGACAGGAAUACCAUCUGGUCCAGUGGCUUUACCAGGUUUCAGGCGUUUGGCGGCAAUUAGUAGUUCUUCCAGUGUGAAAUUUUUUAUGGGGUUCUUUAUUGGUUCGGGCCAUACUACUUCAGGAUGGCGCGGAAACAGAUGCACUACAACGUUUUCCAGUUCAUCCUCACCGUUUCCCCAGACGUCGUCAUCAAUUGAGGCACAUAAUUCCUGCCACUUUGAAUGUUUUGAGAUUUUUAUUUCCUUUCGUAGUUUAUCCCUUGCUAUUUUUAGUGUGUUUACCUUAGUUUCUAGGUUUUGUGACAAUGUUGUUUUAGGUCGAGCUCUUGUUACAGCUCGUCUGGCUUUGAUAGAUUCUUUCCGGAGUUGGGCAAUACGAUCGUUCCACCAGUAGCAGGGUCUUCGUUUUGGUGAAAAAGAUUUCUUUAACAUCGCAGCGUUGCAUGAUUUUUCAAGACUGUCUUUUAGUUGCUCGGGCGAGUUUAUACUGCCACACUUAUUAAACCUUUUUAGGAGUUUCGCCUUAUUCAAUGAUUUUAGGUUCCACGCUGGGGGUUGGUUUGAAUUAUACUGAUGGCUAUCUGGUAAAUUUGUUUCCCAUUUGAAAGAAAUGAUUUUGUGGUCGCUGAGGGAUUCUGUAUCCAUCGUUGUCCAUCCUUGUAUGUUAUUUGCGACGUUUUGAGAUACUAGUGUUAAGUCUAUGAUUGAUUUUGAUGUACCUCUUUCAAAUGUAUAGUAGUUUGGUUUGUUUUUGGUAAUAAAGUUUAGUUCUGCAA